This 70-nucleotide transfer RNA is filed under the name Ictidomys tridecemlineatus (thirteen-lined ground squirrel). RNAcentral's name for it is "Spermophilus tridecemlineatus (thirteen-lined ground squirrel) tRNA". It matches the Rfam family "tRNA". From Rfam's summary of the family: Transfer RNA (tRNA) molecules are approximately 80 nucleotides in length. Their secondary structure includes four short double-helical elements and three loops (D, anti-codon, and T loops). The record is from Rfam by way of RNAcentral. Lineage: Eukaryota; Metazoa; Chordata; Mammalia; Rodentia; Sciuridae.
GUGGCUGUAGCUCAGUGGCAGAGCGGUUGCCUAGCAAGCAUGAGGCACUGGGUUUGAUCCCAGAACUACA